CAAACUAGAGGUAAAUUUUUGUUAAAAAUUUUAUUGGAUCUCCCCUUCUUUUGAAAGUUUAACUCUAGCUAAAUAUAUAAAUUUAUCUUGUUGUAUAUAAGAUCUUAGAAUAAAAAUUUAUCUACUUAGUGCAAAAAAUUUUAGUAAAAUUAAUUUAAAAAAGCAAAAUAUGAUCAAUUAGGUGCCAGCAUUCGCGGUUACACCUAUUUAUAGUAUAUUUAAAUAGGUAGAGGACAAAAUAAUAGAAUAUAAAACUUUAGAUGUAAAAUUCUUCCAUUUUUAUAAAAUCACCUGACCUCAAAAGUUAACUAAUAAACAGGGAUUAGAUACCCCUCUAUAUAAAAUAAUUUCUAACCAGGGGUAGUAAUAGAUACAGCCUUCAAACCCAAAGAAUUUGGCGGCAGUUAAUCUUUUUAGAGAGGUCUGUAUAUUAAUUUGACAAUCCACUUUAUAUCUUUCUCUCUUUAAAUUUGUAUACCGUCAUCUAAAUCUUACUUUAAAGUAAGUAUUUACAAAGGAAACAAAAAUGUUAGAUCAACGCGCAGUGUACAGGAGAGCUCUUUAUGGAUCUCAAUUUAUACUAAAUAGAAAAAUAUCUAACACUUUUUAGAAAGAGGAUUUAAAUGUAAUAAAAUUUCAAAAUAAUUCUAUGACUAAGCCAUUAGCUGUGUACAUAUCGCCCGUCGCUCUCGAUCCGAGAUAAGUCGUAACAAAGUAGAAGUACUAGAAAGUGCUUCUUUACUUAU
This 746-nucleotide ribosomal RNA is filed under the name Bragasellus molinai. RNAcentral describes it as "12S ribosomal RNA". The record is from RNAcentral. Lineage: Eukaryota; Metazoa; Arthropoda; Malacostraca; Isopoda; Asellidae.